GAUGAACGCUGGCGGCGUGCCUAAUACAUGCAAGUCGAGCGAACAGACGAGGAGCGUCCUCCUCUCACGUGAGCGACGGACGGGUGAUUCACACGUGGGUAACCUACCGAGAAGACUGGGGUAACGUCGGGUAACCUGAUCUAACACCCGAUAAGAUGUUGAACCGCAGGGUUCAUUAGGCAAAGAGGGUUUUGCUGGCCCUUUGACAGAUUUCGGAGUUGCAUUAGUUAGUGGGUAAGGUAACGGCUUACCAAGGCGACGAUGCGUAGCCGAUCUGAGAGGAUGAUCAGCCACACUGGAACUGAGACACGGCCCAGACUCCUACGGGAGGCAGCAGUAGGGAAUCUUGCGCAAUGGGCGAAAGCCUGACCGAGCCACGCCGCGUGAGUGAUGAAGGCCUUCGGAUUGUAAAAUGCUGUUGUUCGGAAAGAAAAAAUGCGUGCGUAACUAUGCAGGUCUUGACGGUACCGAAUGAAAAAGCACCGGCUAACUACGUG
Molecule: ribosomal RNA, 497 nt
Filed under: uncultured bacterium
Lineage: Bacteria
Description: partial 16S ribosomal RNA
Rfam family: Bacterial small subunit ribosomal RNA
Source: RNAcentral